RNAcentral lists this transfer RNA (66 nucleotides) under Kleidocerys resedae resedae. RNAcentral's name for it is "tRNA-His". The record is from RNAcentral. Lineage: Eukaryota; Metazoa; Arthropoda; Insecta; Hemiptera; Lygaeidae.
AUUUAGGUAGUUUAAUGAAGAAUAAUAAUUUGUGGUGUUAUUGGUGCUAAUUUUGUGCUCUAAAUU